Phacochoerus africanus (Common warthog) is the source of this 202-nucleotide long non-coding RNA. RefSeq lists it as uncharacterized. Lineage: Eukaryota; Metazoa; Chordata; Mammalia; Artiodactyla; Suidae. The transcript is spliced from 3 exons. The record is from RefSeq and is a predicted model, not a curated record.
UCUUGGCAGGGAACAGCUCCCUCAGAGGCCCAACCAGGAUGAGGCAGAGCCUUUCAAGAGAGAUAAAGGAAAACAGCCAGCCCCCGUGGGUUCACCUUUACAGCGUCUGAAACUAGGACAUGAGCCAAAUUUUCCAAAAUGCCAGAAGGGGUAACAAAGAAGUAACCAGUUGGAAGCUGAGGACUGGCAAAGUUCAAGACAA